Molecule: ribosomal RNA, 291 nt
Filed under: uncultured Planctomycetota bacterium
Lineage: Bacteria; Pseudomonadati; Planctomycetota
Description: uncultured planctomycete partial 16S ribosomal RNA
Rfam family: Bacterial small subunit ribosomal RNA
Source: RNAcentral
GAGAUUGCCGUAAACGAUGGGCACUAGGUGUGGGGGGUAUCCACUCCUCCCGUGCCGCAGCUAACGCACUAAGUGCCCCGCCUGGGGAGUACGGCCGCAAGGUUAAAACUCAAAGGAAUUGACGGGGGCCCGCACAAGCGGUGGAGCAUGUGGUUUGAUUCGACGCAACGCGAAGAACCUUACCUGGGCUUGACAUCCCGGGAACCCCCUGGAAACAGGGGGGUGCCCCCGAAAGGGGGAGCCCGGAGACAGGUGCUGCAUGGCUGUCGUCAGCUCUGUCGUGAGACGUUA